This 59-nucleotide small RNA is filed under the name Sinorhizobium meliloti 2011. RNAcentral's name for it is "putative ncRNA". Lineage: Bacteria; Pseudomonadati; Pseudomonadota; Alphaproteobacteria; Hyphomicrobiales; Rhizobiaceae. The record is from RNAcentral.
GUUUUGAGCUGACGCGUCGCGGCUUCGACGAGGCGCUGCUCGCUGAAGCCGAGACCGGC